This 451-nucleotide ribosomal RNA is filed under the name uncultured bacterium. Its description in RNAcentral is "bacterial SSU rRNA". It matches the Rfam family "Bacterial small subunit ribosomal RNA", at positions 224 to 670 of the family's 1533-position model. The record is from RNAcentral.
GAUGGGUAUGCGUCCUAUUAGUUAGUUGGUAAGGUAACGGCUUACCAAGACUACGAUAGGUAGGGGCCCUGAGAGGGGGACCCCCCACACUGGUACUGAGACACUGCCCAGACACCUACGGGUGGCUGCAGUCGAGAAUCUUCGGCAAUGGGCGAAAGCCUGACCGAGCGAUGCCGCGUGCGGGAUGAAGGCCUUCGGGUUGUAAACCGCUGUCAGUAGGGAGGAAAUGCAUGGGGGUCAUCCCCCGUGUUUGACCUAUCUUCAGAGGAAGGACGGGCUAAGUUCGUGCCAGCAGCCGCGGUAAGACGAACCGUCCAAACGUUAUUCGGAAUUACUGGGCUUAAAGGGUGCGUAGGCGGCGCGGUUAGUCGGAUGUGAAAUCGUACAGCUCAACUGUACAACUGCGUCCGAAACUGCCGCACUUGAGGAAGGCAGAGGUGAGCGGAACUCA